CAUCCUCCAAGGCUAAAUACUCCUGACUGACCGAUAGUGAACCAGUACCGUGAGGGAAAGGCGAAAAGAACCCCGGCGAGGGGAGUGAAAAAGAACCUGAAACCGUGUACGUACAAGCAGUGGGAGCACCCUUCGGGGUGUGACUGCGUACCUUUUGUAUAAUGGGUCAGCGACUUAUAUUCUGUAGCAAGGUUAACCGUAUAGGGGAGCCGGAGGGAAACCGAGUCUUAACCGGGCGUUAAGUUGCAGGGUAUAGACCCGAAACCCGGUGAUCUAGCCAUGGGCAGGUUGAAGGUUGGGUAACACUAACUGGAGGACCGAACCGAC
RNAcentral lists this ribosomal RNA (327 nucleotides) under Salmonella enterica subsp. enterica serovar Derby. Its description in RNAcentral is "partial 23S ribosomal RNA". It matches the Rfam family "Bacterial large subunit ribosomal RNA", at positions 454 to 783 of the family's 2925-position model. RNAcentral also lists the same sequence under 1 other name. The record is from RNAcentral. Lineage: Bacteria; Pseudomonadati; Pseudomonadota; Gammaproteobacteria; Enterobacterales; Enterobacteriaceae.